AAAUGCGAUAAGUAAUGUGAAUUGCAGAAUUCAGUGAAUCAUCGAAUCUUUGAACGCACCUUGCGCUCCUUGGUAUUCCUUGGAGCAUGCCUGUUUGAGUAUCAUGAAAUCUUCAAAGUAAAUCUUUUGUUAACUCAAUUGGUUUCUACUUUGGUAUUGGAGGUCUUUGCAGCUUCACACCUGCUCCUCUUUGUUCAUUAGCUGGAUCUCAGUGUUAUGCUUGGUUCCACUCGGCGUGAUAAGUUAUCUAUCGCUGAGGACACUGUAAAAGGUGGCCAAGGUAAAUGCAGAUGAACCGCUUCUAAUAGUCCAUUGACUUGGACAAUACUUUUAUGAUCUGAUAUCCAAUCAGGUAGGACUACCCGCUGAACUUAAGC
RNAcentral lists this unclassified non-coding RNA (377 nucleotides) under plant metagenome. RNAcentral describes it as "partial contains 5.8S ribosomal RNA, internal transcribed spacer 2, and large subunit ribosomal RNA". The stretch from base 1 to 104 matches the Rfam family "5.8S ribosomal RNA", at positions 51 to 154 of the family's 154-position model. The record is from RNAcentral.